CAAUCAUAGUUAGUACUGUAUCUAGGUGCAUAAAUGUACGUGUAUUAGGUAUUUCAAUAGCUACGAUUUUUUUAAAACUUGUGUUUGCAUCUUUGAAAAUAUUACGUGCUAACUUUUCUAUUGCUUGAGCUGAUGUACGUUCUGAUAUACCAAUAGCUAAAACAUCUUUCGAUAAUACUAAUUCAUCUCCACCUUCAAUAUUAAAUGGUGAGUUACGAUCUAACCAUACUGGUACAUCUUUAUCUUUAAAUCUUGGAUGAUGUUUCAGUAUAUAUGUCAUAAAAAUAGAUUCUCUACGUCGUGCUCUCCAAUACAUUCUGUUAAUUGUCAUUCCUCUACCAAUUGAAGCUUGGGGAUCUCUUGUAAAAUAAAGGUUGGGCAUUGGAUCUAAGUAAAAUGGAUAUCUAUCAUCCAUAUAUUCUACUAAAUGGGUUGUUUCAAGUUGAAUUUCUUCUUUACGUACGCCAGCCAUGAUUUUAUUUACAAGUUCUUGGUCAGAUAACUUUGAAAAGAAUUCUUUAAUUUCAGUUUCAUGACCUAAUAUUGUCUUUUUAGAUUCUGUUAAUAUGUCGUUUAUGAAGUUCUCGCGUACUUCUGGCUCAGUAAUAGAUUCUGCUGCAAGUUUUUCU
This 629-nucleotide small nuclear RNA is filed under the name Staphylococcus aureus. Its description in RNAcentral is "SAUSA300s268". The record is from RNAcentral. Lineage: Bacteria; Bacillati; Bacillota; Bacilli; Caryophanales; Staphylococcaceae.